UUUUUUUUGGCACCAUUCCUCGGAGCUCAUAUCGAUUUUUUUUUUUUACGUCGUGCAACUAAAAUAUAAAAUUAUCUUCUGUUUUUCGAUUGAAACUACCAGGGUUGAAUCGAGUGUUCGACGGAAUGCGCGUGAGAAGCACUUGGGAGUAUCGUACAAACUUCUCGACGGUGAAAUAUGAUGGCACACACAGACAUGCUUGCAGAGAUUCUGUGGAUAAAUCCAGGGAUUCAUUCUUUGUUGAUCCUUAAAGGACUAUGGAACCUCCAAUGGUUUGAACAAGAACACAGUAAUUCUCUAUCAGAGACGAGUCUCGAAUUCUACAAUAGACCGGUUUAGGCAGCAGAAACAACAACAUUCACAUAUGAUGUAGAUGAUGAAGGUAGCCAGCCAAGAGAGCGAGAUUAUUUGGGUCCCCAGGAGUCCAGGUAGAUGAUCUUGGACAUCGAAUCCUCGGUGCGCCUGGCUCUCUCCACCGCUUUCUCCCCUCCUCUCCUCCACUGAUCAAUGGAAGAAGAAGACAUCCUCUUGGCCCGAGAGAACGGCGCCAUGCUGCGCUUGGCACGCCCGUGGAGGGACCUGAGCGCGUAGUUCCAUCGACACAGGCCCGCCUGAUCCUUGAGCGCCUCCACCGCCGCCACGCUCGCUGCGACGAUCAGCGAAGCCUUGCUUGCCGAAGCCAUAUGUAUCAAUCUACUACUCAGUAGUUUGAACCUGUGAUGAGUUGCAAAUGUUACAGAAGUGGGCGACGGGGAAGGGAAACACAAGCGUCCAUAUAAAGCCCCCGAGGAAGGGAAAACAGGGGAUGAGAUUGCCGCUGGUUUCGGCUCAUAGUUGUUUCCCAGAUACAAGGGGAGGCUUUUGCUUGUUUACGGAUAAGACUGUGACUGCAUUGGAAUCAGUGAGACGGAUGGUUUGGUAGGAGAAAACGUGUGGCUAAAGUAGAACAAAAGGCACACGGAUCGGAGACCUGUGGGCGGCACCAGUAAACCGGGAAUCUAACGGUUGAUCAGCCAUCCUUGCUUGGCUUGGCGAUCCUGUCGAGAUGUGAGGUUUGGUCUCUCUCUAUCUCUCUCUCUCUCUCUCUCUCACACACACAUCUUUGAGUCGAGCAACUGCGGAUGGAUUCCCUUCUUACUCCUGUUUUUGUUUCGGUAACAAAGGUCACUCAGCAUCAGUCUCUUGCUGGAUCGAUAAUAGUAUCUAUCUAAAACAAAUUCUCUCUUUUUUUAUUGUUCUUGUAUGAGCUGAAGAUAAAGAAAGGGAUAAACAUUGGUGAGAGAUGGGAGAGAGUGAUCUUUCGAAGAUGUGAUUGAUUUAGCAUAGCUUCUGCCGAUGGAUUUCAUGUCAUCCUUUGCUCCUUUUAAUCAGUUCCAUCGAAUAUAUAUGAGAUAAGACGAGAAAUGCCACAAACAUCUUGAACAAACUUAUCCAUGCCAUGAAAAGGCCUCAUCAUGUUCGAACAAUUCAGUAUAUAUUACUGCAAAAUCGGAUUGUUUUUACAUAGGAGACGUAGGCUGAACAGAGAAGAAGGAUUUGGUUCAUCUUUGAACCAAACACAAAGACACCUCUCUCUAAUUGGGACCCCAACAGCUCAAGUACACGACCGUCCUCAGUGCCUCCUCUGCUUGCUUGGCCUUCGCAUCCGCCGCCUGCCACUCUCUCCUCGUGUCGAUGGAGGAAGAUGUCCUCUUGGCCCGAGACAAGGAGCCUACGGUGUUGUUCUUCGUCCGCUGCUGCA
This 1741-nucleotide long non-coding RNA is filed under the name Musa acuminata (dwarf banana). RNAcentral describes it as "long non-coding RNA (MACU_LNC005570)". The record is from RNAcentral. Lineage: Eukaryota; Viridiplantae; Streptophyta; Magnoliopsida; Zingiberales; Musaceae.